This 1005-nucleotide long non-coding RNA is filed under the name Phascolarctos cinereus (koala). RNAcentral describes it as "lncRNA (ENSPCIG00000033615.1)". The record is from RNAcentral. Lineage: Eukaryota; Metazoa; Chordata; Mammalia; Diprotodontia; Phascolarctidae.
CCCGACUGUCAGGGCCAGAGAUAGUCAUCCAGAAUCUCACCCAGGCUGUCUGCCGGAGCUGUCAUUGCUGGGAGCUCCAUGUGAAUGAAUAUGAGGAGCGUCUAUUCCUCCAAGGCUCAAAGCUAAGUGACCUCAAAAUGUUGUUGGAUCGGAAACCCGGAGCUGGAAAAAGGCUUGGGAACCAUCUAGUCCACCUCCCUCUUCUACAGGCAGGGAAACUGAGGCCCAUGAAGGCUGGAUGGCUUGGAUGAGAUCACACCAGUAACAAGUGCCUGAGCCGGGCUUUGACUCCAAAUACUGCAUUCUUUCCACCAUCCCACGGCUUUAAUUCAGAUCUUUUCACUUCAUCCAGAUCUCUUAAAGGAAGACAGACUUUCUGCCCGCUGUUUUUCAGCUGACUGGUGUGAACUGGGUGUUUAAAUGGACCGGAACUCACUGUAUAAUUAUGCAGCGCUUCCUUCUGUUCCGGCUGGGUCCUGCGGACUGGCCUAACCCAUCUUUCCUUAAAUACCAUUCAUCUGAAUCACCGCAUUGGCUUUCCUAGGCCUGUGGAGAAGCCCUAGAUUCUGCUCAGACUAGAGACAAAUCUGGCCUUGAGAGAUCCCAGAGAAUGAGUAGCACAAGUCAGUCCCCAUCAGAGAGAAGACUGUGCACCUUAGGGAGGGAAAAAAGUCAAUGGGAGGCUAACUUUUUUUAUUGUACAUAACCGCUCUUUUCUGCUCACAGCACAGUAUGCUUUGUUGUAAGGAAUUACACGCUGGACAUUCAAGUUGCUAACACCGUGGACGAGUCAGGAGACCCAGGCAUGCAGAGUUUACCUUCAACAGAGAAGCUGUUUUGGUGAAGUGCUUUGUGACUUCAAAGUCUGUUGUGUAAGGAGGUUAGUGCAUAUGACUCAUAGAUAAAUUCUGUUUCUUUUUGCAAAGCUGUCCUCGUAUUUGGUAUGCUGGGUGACUACAAUCUUUAGUAAGCAAAAUAAUAAAUUUUCUUGUAUCUGGAAUAGCA